CUCCUCCCGCUUCCUCUCUCCGCUGAUCACCAGCACAUUGCCGUCCUCCACCUGAACCUUGAUGUCGCCGGACCUCAGCCCCGGCAUGUCGACGAUGAAGGUGUAGGAAUUCGGGUACUCCUUGACGUCAGCCGGCGUCGCCGCCAUGGCCUUGGCGUCCCGGACGUAGGUGCGGGUGGGAGCGUUGAGAGACUUGUCGGAAUCGUCGCCGGCGUCAAGCAUGUGUUGGAGGGUUGAGAAGAGUGGAGAAUCAAAACCCAUGACCCUCAAAUCCAUUUUGCUUUUCAGCGAUUAGUCUCUGAGAUCUGCUAAGAUUUGUAAAUGAAAAUGUUGGAAUUGAUUUUCUGAUGAGGAAUUCAUGCCGGUGGUGUGGUUCUUAUAGGUGGUGGGUUUGGGUUUGGAAGCAGAGGAAGUUUCUGGAAGAAGAGAGAAGAGCAACACUGGUAGCUUCUGGAAGUUUUAUGGACCUUCUUACAAGUUAAAACGGAAAAAUUCAAAUUGACUAAAGUGCCCUUCUGUCUCUAUGGCUACAAAAUCCCCUUACGUGGACGCCUUUGAAUGUUGCUGUAAUAAGACAACAAUUUAAUUUUACUCCUCCGAAAGUCAGGUAUUUGUUUUUUGGGAGAAUUACGUUUGGAGGUAGAUGGACAUUCAAAUUAACAAAAGGUCCAUGUAAUUCUUCAAAUUGAGCCUAAGACCCAAUAAAAGUAUGAAAAUUGAGUUGAAGGAUAUCAUCUUUCAGUAUUUCCAAAAAUACCCUUUAUUGAUUUUGAGAAAAAAAAUUAAUAUUUUUUAAAAAUACUUUUAUGUAAUUUAAUAUUUUUAAAAAUAAUUUAUUUAAUUUAAUAUUUUUAAAAAAUAAAUUUAUUUAAUUUAAUAUUUAAAAAAAAUAAAUUUAUUUAAUUUAAUAUUUAAAAAAAAUAAAUUUAUUUAAUUUAAUAUUUUAGAAAAAAUUUAAUUUAAUAUUUUUUUAAAUACUUUAAUUUAAUUUAAUAUUUUUGAAAAAAAAAUCAUUUAAUUUAAAAUUUUUGAAAACUACUUUUAUUUAAUUUAGUAUUUUUGAAGAAAAAUUAUUAAAAAAAAAUUAUUUAACUUAAUUUUAUAAAAUAUUUUAUAUGUGUUCUUAAAGGGUAUAUUUGUCCGUUACUAUUUCAUAUCCUUCAACUCAAUUUGAAGAGUUAUAUGGACCUUUUGUUAAUUUAGGAUCCCAUCUAACCCCAAAACAUAAUUCUCCCUUGUUUUUUUUUAUUGAAAAUAAUUUAUUUUUGAAUGGUUUGUUUUUUCUUUUUCUUAUUUACGAUUUAUUAUAAAUUUUUUAUUGGAUAAAAAAAACUAAAAUAUUUAAUUUUUUCUAAACUUAAUAAUUAAUACUAUUAAAUAUUAAAAUUUUAUUUAUAAUUAAGUAAAAAAAACCAACACUACUGUAAACCCCCAUUUGGGCUCCUCUUCCAUGCAUUUUUUUUUACCAGGUGUCACAAUCCCAAGAAAGCUGGCAGCCAUUUUGGAAGAGUGGGGGCUGGUUUCUGGAGGAGCCGAGCAUGUUGGGACGUGUGGCCAUGGACACCACCACCUUGCCAUGGUGGUGGUUGAGGAUGGAGACUGGCUGAUGGUUGGAACAGGGAAAGACUUGCAAGAGGGGAAAAACAGAGGGCAGGUGAAGGCUGGCAGGGGGUCUUCAUUUUUUUGAGGAGAGGCGAACGGGAGAGGGGAGAGACCGGAGAGAGAAGAAACAGAGGAACGAGAGGGAGUUUGAGGGGAAAAACGAGUGGGGAUCGUUUUGGAGAUAGAUUAAGAGCUAGAAACCAAGCAUAACAAUGCUUGAAGGGAGUUGUCCAGGUACGAUUACUAAAGCUCCAUGUUUUCUCCUAUCUUCAUAUUGUUUCCUUUUGGUUUCUGCAUAUUAUUUUGUUGGUUGAAUCUGAAUAUAAAAAACCAUCAUGUUAUUGUUGAGCCUGAGAUUGUUUUUAUGCUUCCACUGUUUGGGUUAUGCUCUGGUUUCUUUGUCUCUGUUUUAUACCAGAUUUGCAACAUUUGGAGGUAUUAUUUACAUUCCUAUUUUGGACCCCAUUUUGAGAUUUCUAUACAUUGGCUCUCAAGUUCACUGGUAACUCAUGAAGUAAAGCUUCACUUGUUGACCAGUGAUUUAUGUUUAUGUCAUGUUUCUAUGAUUGUUAUUUUUGCUGUGAUUUUCCUCUGUUCGUUGACUGUCCAUGGUGUCCAUCAAGUGGUGCACUUCCACCUAGGGCUUCUCUGAUCUGUUGGAUAACAUACCAUUAAUUCGAGGAGCUGUGAAAAGAAAGGAAAUUUGAAUCAAUUGCAAAAUGCUUUGAGAAGGCUAGUUACAGUUGGGUUGAAGUUACUGUUGGGGAUAAAUGUAUGCCCAAGAUCCAAUCUAUCAUGUAAUCAACUUUAGUUUUAAUAAGGUAUUAAUUCUUUAUUUCAUUAUCAUAUCUGUUUAAAAUAGUUUAUAUGAUAAGGUCCUUGAUUAAAAUUUGAAAAAUUGUUAUCAUGAUAGAGAUUAUGAUAAUGAGAAGCAAUUCUUUUAAUAAUUUUAAUCUAAACUGUUCUUGAUCAUAGGAUUAUUGUCAACAGGACAUCAAUAAUCCAGAUAGAUCAAUAUAUAUGUGAUGGUCUUUAUUGGAUAAAGAUUGAUAUAUCUCAUUUGUUAAAUUACAUAUAUAGAUGAUGCACAUGUAGAUGUGAUCAUUGAACUGACUCAACUGAGAAUUUCUAAUGGUUAUCUUUACCUUAAAUUGUCAAUAGGAAUUUCUCAAGAAGAAAUAUAAUAGUUUUCUUUGACCUGAGAUUAUCAAAGUAAUUAACAAGUUAUUUAUUAUAUUUUAAUCCCGGACACCUAAUGCCUUAGGGCACUAGUUGAAUGGAUAUUGGAUAUAAUUAAAUACUUGUAGAAUUAAUGAUUAAUCAAGAAGGAAUCCAUCAACUCGUGGUAAUGAGUUUGAGCUCUAUGAUAAAAAUAAGACCUUGGCCAAGGCAAUUGAAUGAAUGAAGAAAUGAGUUUCUUAAGUCAUUCACUAANNNNNNNNNNNNNNNNNNNNNNNNNNNNNNNNNNNNNNNNNNNNNNNNNNNNNNNNNNNNNNNNNNNNNNNNNNNNNNNNNNNNNNNNNNNNNNNNNNNNUAGCACCAAGAAUAUAAUUAAUAUAUAGAUAAAAAAAAUAAAAUAUUUUUCUUUGGACGUGGAAGUUAGUCCACGAGAAUGUUUGCUAAACAUUUGCAAACAUAUGGGUACAUGCAGCAACUUACAGGAGGGAUGUGGGUUUUGUUUUUAACUUACAAGACUUGGUCAAAGUGUUUUUCAAAUGCUAUUGAAAAUAGCAAAAGAAAAACAAAUGGACCAAUAGAAUCUCUUAGUAGCCCAAAAAAGGAGGACACGAUAGAGAUAGAUUAAGUGAUAAAAUCAAAAAUCAAAUUAGUUGAGUUAUCUUAUCACUUAAAACAGAAGUUGUAUCGGAUAUGCUAUAUAACAUAUAUACACAAUCUGAAUAAGGAUCGAUCUAUCUUUUUCCUCCUUGUUUUUUACGCCAAAGAAAUAAAAAGUGUUGUUCUAUUUUUUUUAAGUUCCGCGUAUCAAAGGGUUGAUAGCAAAGAUUAAUUUCGGUGUGGAUACACGUAGAGUCUUCAUACAAUUGGAGAAAAUUUUAUGCUUGAAGAACUGAUAUCCAGGUUAUUAUUUUAAAUUUUUGAUAGCUGCAGUAUAUAUUUUGAAUGCAAAAUAGAUCAAUUUUCCGCUGUAUGUGUUAUAAAUUUAUUUUAUAACCUUUCAGUUACAGGGCAUGUAAGUUGCUUCAUGUCAAGGAAUCAUAAAAUCCAAUUCCUUUUAAAUUUAAUUUCCAAAAUUCCAUUUCCUAAAUUUAAUUUUUAGAACUCUAAUAUCUUUCAAAUUUAAUUUCCGGAAUUCCGAUUUCCUUCAAAUUUAAUUGCCAAAAUUCAAAAUUUUCAAUUUAAUUUCUAAAAUUUCAUUUCUUUCAAAUUUAACUUCCAAAAUUCUGAUUUCUUUCAAACUUAAUUUCCAAAAUCCAAUUUCUUUUAAAUUUAAUUUCCAAAAUUCCAUUUCCUAAAUUAAUUUUUUUUAAAACUCCAAUUUCUUUCAAAUUUAAUUUCCGGAAUUCUGAUUUCCUUCAAAUUUAAUUUCCAAAAUUAUGAUUUCUUUCAAAUUUAAUUUCCAAAAUCCAAUUUCUUUUAAAUUUAAUUUUCAAAAUUCCAUUUCCUAAAUUUAAUUUUUAAAACUCCAAUUUCUUUGGAAUUUAAUUUCCAAAAUUCUGAUUUCUUUCAAAUUUAAUUUCUAAAAUUUCAACUCUUAAGUUUAAUUUCCAAAAUUCUAUUUCCUAAAUUUAAUUCUCAAAAUUCCAAUUUCUUUUAAAUUUAAUAUCCAAAAUUCUAAUUCUUAAAUUUAGUUCCCAAGGCUUGAAUUUUCAAAUAAUUUUCGAGACUCCAAUUUUCAAAUAAAUUUCAAAAAUCCAGUUUUCUCUCGAACAAUUUUAAUUCCACUAUGGUUUUCAAAUGAUAUUUUGUUUCUCUUGAUUCUAUAUAAGCAAGAAUGAAUUUUCAUAAUUCUAGAAUAAUGGAAUUUGCGAGACUAAUUCGUGCAAGAUAAACUGGGCUUUGGUGGGGGCCCUACAUAGGAGUUUUAUUGUCAACUGUUAUACUUAAUGAAUAUUGUCUGAUCUUUGUCUUGUUGUUUGAUAUGCAUGCGAUAUAUUUUGUAUUCAUUAUUGUGCACUAAUCCCAUUUCAUGAUAGUGCAUUAUUACUUGCUGCCAAGGUACGAUCUCACUCCCACUUUAUUUAUUUCUAUGCAUGAUUCGUUUUAUUAUUCGAUUAUUUCACUGGUAUUUAUUGAUUUCCUAAUUAAUUAUUAUAUUUGCUUCACCUUGAUUAAUAGAGACCCAUUUUUUGGGGCUUAGAGGGGUGCUACGGUCUUUACCGUACUCUUCCCAAUAAGUAACCUAACCCCCGAACCUAGACCCUGUUUUUCACAGACCUGGUUUUUUUCUUCAGAAAUUAUAUUUAGGGUUUUUCUUUUUUAUUUUGUUUUUCCCUUAAAAAAUAAAACAAAAAUAAGUAGCGACUCCAAGUUUUUUCAAAAAAUCAAAUUUUCACAAAAUGAAUAAAAAGUGAGUUUCACCAUCGAGUGGGAACACAUUGAGCAAAAUGCGGGGUCCACAACUACUCAUUUAACUUUUUCAUUAAAUUGGCAUAAAUAAAAUAAUAUCACACUAUAAAGUAUACAAAUCUGAAAAUAUUUACUUAGUAAAAUUUUAAAUUUAUUGUUAAUAGUUGUUCCAUAAUAUUAAUCAUUUUAAAAUAAACUUAAACUUUCAUUAGUUAAAUUCUUAAUUUUUAUAAAUAGAAUAAUUUGAGCAUGUAUUUUCAUUAAAUAUGGUUGUCUUAAUUACUAAUUUUAAUUUAUUUAGUAAUAGAUCUUAUUAAAUUACAAAAUUAUAAAAAAAAAUAAUAAUUUAAUAUGUUUUCGAAAAUGAGUUCUUAGCAUCCAUGAGCUCUAAAAUAAUUAUUUUAGAGCAUGUUUCUUAAAUAAGCAUCCUUCACAUAAUUCAUUCAUCAUCUCCGAAAAGCAAUUCCCAUUUUUUUUUUCAACAAUUUUAAUUCAUCAAAAUUAAGAUAUCCAAAUCUUAAAUGUCAAAUCCAAAAGGAAUUAUCACACGAGAUUUUAGAUAUUUAUUAUUUUGUAUGUUUAACAAAAACAUUGCAUUUCUUGACAUAUUAUUAAUUACAUUUACAUGCUAUCUCUUACUAAAAGAGUCAUAUAAAUAUCAUAAUCUUUUUCUAAAAGCUAGUCCAAACUUAAUAUAUUAUUUGUCAUUUGGGCAAAUAACAAAUAAUGUUCGAGAUAAAUCGAUGCAUUCCAUUCUUAUUUUACCUUUGCCUUUUUAGAUACAUAAUAAUUCUUUCCCCACAAAAUGGACUUAACUUUGAAUAGUUUCCAAGAUGGGUGAGCCCAAAAAAAAGAGGCUAUUUGGACAAAUUCUAAAGCUGUGACCCAAAAGACUACGUUUUAAAAAAAAAAUUCACAAAGUACUCCCAUUUCUAAAAUAAUGUCCAAUCUAAUGUGUCUGUACCACGUAAAUUGUCACGUCAUAAAACCGUAGUUGGUAAUUAUGGUUUUAUUUUUUAAAAAUAGUCAAAACCGUAGUUACCAACCACGAUUUUAACUUUAAGUUUAAAACCGUAGUUGGUGAUUACGACUUUGAAUAUUUUUAAAAACAGUCAAAAGCCGUAAUCACCAACUACGACUUUAACUUUCCUUUAUCCUUUCCCCCUUUCCCGAUUAGGUUUAUUCAUUUUCCCAAUUACCUUUCUUCCCUUUAGUUUUUGUGUUUAUUUUCAUUUGCAUUAUAUUGUUAACUUUUUUUUUUUAUUAUUAUGAACAAAUUAUUAUAUAUUUAAAUGAAAAUAUGAUAAAUUUUAAACUUAAAUUGAACUUUUAUAUAUAUAUAUAUAUAUAUAUAUAUAUAUAUAUAUAUAUAUAUAGCAAUCUGACAAUCUAAAAAAUUGGUUUUAGGUUUAAAUUUAAACUAAUUAUAUUUAUAACUAAUUAGUUACAACAACACUAUAUUGAUAUAGAAAAAAUAAUGUAUUAAAAAAAUUUACAAUUUAAACCUCCAAUCAAAAUAAUUUUUUAAAAAUUAAAUAUUCACAUGAUUUAAAAUUUGAACUUAAAAAAUUGGUUUUAGGUUUAAAUUUAAAGUUAUGAUCACCAACUACUAUUUUGACUAUUUUUUAAAAAAAUUCAAAAAUCAUGAUUACCAAUUACAGUUUUGUGAUGUGAAUACCCACAUGAAUAAGACACACAUCACAUUGAAAAUUAUUUUGAGAAUAAAAUUAUUUUAUGAAUUUUCUGUUUUAAAGAAAUCAUUUUUGCCCAAAACUCCCAUUAGUACCCAAUAAGAAACAUUUUUCUUAUUAUCAAUGAAUUUACAAAAAUAUUCUAAAAGCAUUUUCAUCUAUUUACCAAAACAAUUAAACUAAAUAGUGAAUUGAUUGGAAAAAAAAAUGUAUUUUCUUUUUUACAAUUAUAUAUUUUAAGAAGUGGAAAAACAAAUUUUUUUAGGUUGGCAUUUUAAGUUUAACAUUUUAAGCCUUUCCAUUCCAUUUUGAUCCCAUUUUGAAAAGAGAAAAAUGGGAAAAAAAUUAUUUUUGUUGUAUUUAAGUAAUUUUCCAAUUAUUUACCCAUGAAGUCAUAUUAUAUUUUGAACAAGUGCAUAAUUGUCUUUAAUUUUUGCACAAAGUUACAAAAUAAUAUAAUAUUCUUUAUUAUGAGGGUAUAAAAUAGUAUAUUUAUAACUAAUUAUAUUUAUAUUGAGUGUAGUGCCAAAUAUUUUAAUAAAAUUAUCAAAAUAUAUUUUUAUAUUAAAUUAAAGACAUCAAUUAUUUAAUUUCAUAUAUUACUAUUCUGUAAAUAAUAAGAUCAAUUAAAGUUAAAUAUUUUUAUUACACCAUUUACAUAUUUUUAAUCAAUAUAAAAUCAAAAUAAUAUAAUAUUUUAUUUAAAAAAAUUAAACUUAAAUAUAUAUAUAUAUAUAUAUAUAUAUAAAAUUAAAGUUAAAGUCGUAGUUGGUGACUACGGUUUUAACUUUAAGUUUAAAAUCAUGAUUGAUGACACGGUUUUGAUUGUUUUUAAAAAGUAAAACCGUAAUUGGUAACUACGAUUUUAUGACAUGAUAAUUUACUUAGAGUAAACGCAUUAGAUUGGACAUUAUUUUGGAAAUAAGGGUACUUUAUAAAUUUUUUUUUUAAAACAUAGUAUUUUGGGUCAGCUCCAAAUUCUAAGGGUUGUUUGGGCUUGUCCAUUAAUUUGGGACAUGAAACCCACUAAAGGCUAAAGCCAGAACAAGACUAGUCUCAUCCAAGAAGGUAGAACAUAAAAAUAUAUUCCACACAAACCUUAUGGUAGAAGUUAAAAUAAAACUUUUGCUCAAUCACUCUUAAAUCUUACAAAAGCCUUAUAGUUUCAGGGUAAUAUUUCUUAGGAAGAUCAGUUUUCCCAUCUUCUCUACGCAUACAAUGAAGCUUCCAACCAGAAGAGAGAUACACCAAAGAAGAAGAAAAACAGAGCAGGAAGGCUUUCAUUCAUACUCAAAACUAGAAUAUUUGUAAAGAAAUCAUCAGCUUCUAUGUAGAAGCCAAUGACCCAAUAUCAUACCCUGACCAAAUUCACAGAAAUCCCAAUUAGACCAGCUUAUCGGCAAUUACCCACUCAGAAAUCACGGAGAUUUAAGCGAUCUUGACCUCAAUCGUCUUGGGCUUCUUGGGCUCCGGCGGUGGUACCUUCUCAACGGUGACGGUCAGUACUCCAUCUUGACAAACCGCGGAGAUCUUAUCAGUAUUCGCAUUCUCCGGCAACGCAAACUUCCUCAUAAAUUUGCCUACCCUCCUCUCCAUUCUCACGUACUUGACGCCUUCCUUCUCUUCCUCGCGCUUCCUCUCUCCGCUGAUCACCAGCACAUUGUCGUCCUCCACCUGAACCUUGAUGUCGCCGGACUUCAGCCCCGGCAUGUCGACGAUGAAGGUGUAGGAAUUCGGGUACUCCUUGACGUCAGCAGGCGUCGCCGCCAUGGCCUUGGCGUCGCGGACGUAGGUGCGAGUGGGGGCGCUGACGGACUUGUCGGAGUCAUCGGUGGCGUCUAGCAUGUGUUGGAGGGCAGAGAAGAGUGGAGAAUCGAAGCCCAUCAUCCUCGAAUCCAUGUUGGGUUCCAGAGAUUUGUUGGUGUGAGAAUGUGAACAACUGCAAUUGCGAAUGUAGAAGUGCUUGAAUGUUGGAAGGGAUCGGAGGUAGUGAUGUGGUUUUUAUAUUAGACGAGUUGGGAAACAGAGGAAGGUUCUGGAAACAACAAGAAGGAGGAGAAUUGGGAGUUUGUAUCUGUUGGCUCUGCUCCAACGGUUCCAGAAGUUUGUGGAAGUUUCUUUAAAAUGACUAAAGUACCCCUCAUUUGUUCAUAAAAAUUACCUUUUAAAAGAAGUUCUAUUUCAACUUACACGGUAGUUCACAAAUCUUUUAUCAUAUUAUUGUCAACAAGCUAUGGUUUUGAUCAAUGCUUGAUGUAAAUUUUUAUUUUGAUUUUAGAAAAAAAAUAAAAAUAAAGACAUAAUUCUAAAAGGUAUUAUUACGGUAAAAAGUUAAACUAAAACUUUGAGAUAAAAUCAUUUUUUAGGGAACAUUUAAUAAAUCAAUUUAAUAACUUAAAGUAAAUUAAUAAUUUAAUUUAUAUUAUUAAAUAAAUUAAGUAUGUUUGAUAAAAUAAUUUAAUGAUAUAACUUAAGAAUAAAAAAUAACUUAAAGUAACAAACAAAAAUAAUUAAUUAAUUCUUAAAUUUAUAUCUUUAUUUUAAUUUUUUUACUCUUAUUUAUCCGAACUAUUUUCAUAAUCUUUUUUGUUAUUUCAUGACUUUCAUUGUUACUCAAAUUACUUUAUCCUAAUUAUAUAAUUUAUGAAGAUAAAUAUAUUAAUUUGGUGAUUUAUAAUAAAUUUUAAUUUAAUUUUAUUAAAUAACCUUAAUAUUUAAAAUAAGAAUUAAAUAAUAAUUUUUAAGUCAAUAAUUUAAAUAUAAUUUAACUUAAAAUCAAAUUAAAUAAUUAAAUAAUAAAUAAUAAAUUUUACCAAAUACCAUUUUAGAAUUGUUUUUAUAGUAAAGUUAGUUAAAUAAAUACAGAUUUUUUUAUUAAUAAGAGUUUUUGAACUUAGAUCCAACUUGUGUUUUAUCUAUUAAAAUUUAAAAGUUAUAACCAAUUAAGCAUUAACAAUUAAAAAAAAAUUACUCUUUAUUUCUAAAUCGUACAUUAAUAAUAAUUGACUAAUAAAUUAUGAACAUGGAUAAUUUGCCCCUUAUCGGUAGGAGCAUAAAUUACAUGGCAAGUCAUGUUGGGUACAUUUAACUUGGAUUGAACAAGGCGUAGAAGGAUUAAAUAGAAGUAUAUCAUUGAUGAUAAUAUUGCUUAAAUUUAUUUAAUGUCUUCAUUAUUCUAAUACCAGUCAUUAUAUUUGAUCAUUUUCAAAGAGAACAACUCUUCCCUGAGACAAAUAUGGUGUCACUCUCCCAAUCUAAAUUACAAAUUUAGAUUAUCGAAUUCCCUACCCAAAAUCCAAUCUUCCCAGUUAAAAAAAAAAGACUUGUAGUGAAGUUGUCAACCAGAGGAAAUACCACACCUUACUAUGGCUUUUUAAUUGCCGUUAAAUCUUAAAAAUUCUCCAGGAAAAAUGAAAACGAGGCAAGGAAGAGAAAAGGCAGACUUUAUUGACGGUACUGAAAAAUCAAAACUAUACAUUAUACUGUAAUGAAGAGAUCAGUAUUUUCAUCACCCCAAGCCAUUGACCCAAGAUCAAACCCAGACAAAGGCUCCUGUGGCACAGCAACAUUACCACAUUAUUUACUACUAAAACUCCAGAAAAACCCUCCCAAAACCCCCUACAUUUCAAGCAAUUUUGACCUCAAUGGUCUUGGGCUUCUUGGGUUCCGGCGGUGGCAGCUUCUCGACGGUGACGGUCAACACCCCAUCUUGACAUACAGCAGAGAUCUUAUCAGUAUUCGCAUUCUCCGGCAACACGAACUUCCUCAUAAACUUCCCCACUCUCCUCUCCAUUCUUACGUACUUGGCACCUUCCUUCUCCUCCUCUCGCUUCCUCUCUCCGCUGAUCACCAGCACAUUGCCGUCCUCCACCUGAACCUUGAUGUCGCCGGACCUCAGCCCCGGCAUGUCGACGAUGAAGGUGUAGGAAUUCGGGUACUCCUUGACGUCAGCCAGCGUCGCCGCCAUGGCCUUGGCAUCCCGGACGUAGGUGCAAGUGGCUUAAGGUUGAGGGAUUCAAAGACCUUGUUCGAACUUGUGGCAGGGGAUCAAAGUCAGUGGCAGUGCUAGUUAUAGAUUAGCUGCUAAAAUGAAGGAAGUAAAAAAGAAGCUGAAAGUAUGGAACAAAGAGGUUUUUGGGAGGCUGGAAUGCAACAAAUCUUCAGCCCUACAACAAGUAGAUUUCUGGAAUCGGGUGGAAAGCGAGAGAAACUUGACUGUGGAGGAAACUAAAUUAAAAAAGAAGCAAAAGAAACCUAUAAAAAGUGGGUUCUGUUGGAGGAAGCUCAUUGGAGAUAGCUUUCAAGGGAGAUUUGGCUAAGGGAGGGGAAUAGAAACACGGGUUUCUUCCAUCGAAUGACAAGUAUUCAUCGUAGAAACAAUGCUUUUGACAGAAUUAAGGUUAAUGGGGAGUGGCUGUCAGAGGAGCAGGAGGUGAGGGAAGAAAUUGUUAACACAUUUCAGUAGAUGCUCUCUAAAGAUAUGGAAUGAAAGGCGAAUAUUGGAAGAAUUCAUAUUGAUCACAUCAUCCGGCAAGAAGCAGAGAGUUUGGAGGUCCCAUUUACAGAGAUUGAGAUUUAUACGGCGUUGAUGGAGAUGAAUGGGGAUAAAGCCCCUGGUCUGGAUGGCUUUACUGUAGCUUUCUGGCAAAACGCUUGGGAUUUUACCAAAGAGGAGAUUCUGGAUAUGUUUAAAAAAUUUCAUGAACAUAACUCUUUUGUUAGAAGUCUCAACAAUACUUUUUUGGUAUUGAUCCCUAAGAAAAGUGGGGUUGAGGAUCUUGGAGACUUUAGACCUAUCAGUCUCUUAGGGGGCCUUUAUAAACUUUUGGCUAAAGUUCUAGCUAAUAGGCUAAAAAAAGUGAUUAGUAAGGUGGUCUCCAUUGCCCAGAAUGCCUUUGUAACAGGAAGACAAAUUCUUGAUGCGUCAUUAAUUGCUAGUGAGGUGAUAGAUUCAUGGCAGAAGAGAAAAGAGAAGGGCCUUAUAUGCAAAUUGGAUAUAGAAAAAGCUUAUGACAACAUCAAUUGGAAAUUCUUAAUGAAGGUCUUACAAAAAAUGGGUUUUGGGGCUAAGUGGGUGGGAUGGAUGUGGAGUUGCGUGUCCUCUACCAAAUUCUUAGCUCUUGUUAAUAGAGUACCAACUGGUUUUUUCCCUAGCACUAAAGGGCUUAGACAAAGAGAUCUUCUAUCCCCUUAUCUUUUUUGUAAGGAAUUUGAGGCUAAUCCAAACUAUGCUAAUCACCCUAGAGAGGGGGGGUAAAUAGGGUGAUGGUCUCUUUUUCACAAAUUUAAACUAUGCAAAAAUAAGAGAUAAUUAUAUGCAAAUAUAUAAUAAACAAAAUAAACACAAUUACAUAUAAUUUAAAAGAGUUAGGGAAGAGAGAGUGCAAACAUGAGAGUUUAUAGUGGUUCGGCACUUCCUUGCCUACGUCCACUCUCCUCAACCUUUUAACCGAGUGAGGGUUCCACUAUCUUGAAGUUUCAACCAAACUUCCAAUCUCUUUACAAUUGGAUUAUGGUUCUAAUUCACCCUCUUAGACUUUUGGCUCCAAGCACCUUUUACACUUCUUAAGAGUUAUCCCACUCUUGAACAACCUCUCAAGUGAUACCCCUCACUUGAGAAAAUUCAUCUAAAAAAUAUACAAAGAUUGAUCUCACAAAGAUCCUAGUAAUAGAACUUUAGGCUCAAAAAUACAAGAAAAACUAGGAUUGAAUGGUACACUAAAGAUAUGCAAGUUAUGAAACAAUGGUGCACUCAAAAACACUCUUCCAAGGCUCAAAUAUAAUCAAGAAUGAUUUGGGAAGGUUAAGCUUAUGAAACAAUGAAGAUUGAAGCCUUUUUAUAGAAGAAAAAAGUCAAACUAGCCGUUGGGGGUUCGACCGGUCGAGCUAGGUGUCGACUGGUUGACUAGCCGUUAGGGAAAGUGACCGUUGGGCCUCAACCGGACCUCAACCGGUCCUCAAUUGGACCUCAACCGAACCUCAACCGAACCUCAACCGAUUGAGGUUCAACCUUGACUGGGAAGAGAAUGCCACUGGGAGAGAGAGAAACUUUUUGGCCUCCCUCAACCGGUCCUCGACCGGACGAGCACAACCGGUCGACCGGUUGAACCAGUUGAGCCAUUUUUUUGGCUCAACACUCAACCCUUUUCAACUUAAAACCUUUUAACACAAGUUUGAAAAUCAUUUAACAGAAGGUUUUAGUUGAAAACAUGAAAUCAUCCAAUUCUUAAGAUAUUUAAAACAAUAUUACUUUUGGAUGAUUUUGGUUCAUAAAUAAAUAAUGAAAUGCAUGAAAGUCCUAGUGCACCAACAACCUUACAAAGAGAUCUUAAGAAGCUUUGGUCUUGAAAAAAACUCUUCUCUUUGAGGUGGUCUUCUUCUACAUGAUUUCUCCUUGGCUUGAUUUGUCUUUGGAUUACCACUUUGGAAGUCGUCUUGCCUAAUCACACUUAAAAUGUAGUCAUUAGUUUUAAACCUUGUUUUGUUAUCAUCAAAAUCAAGAUUAACCAAACCUUGGUUUCACAUCUUUGUUAUGGGAAUGGAAGUGUUGGACGUCCUCAUCAGGAGAGCUGUGGAGGGGGGAUACUUAUCAGGAUGCAUAAUUCGGGGUGGUAGUAGACCCUCUUUGAACAUCUCCCACCUAUUUUUUGCUGAUGACACAAUAGUGUUUUGUGAGGUAAGUAAAGAGCAAUUAUCUUACCUAAGUUGGAUUCUUCUUUGGUUUGAAGCAGCUUCAGGCCUUAGAAUUAAUUUAGCCAAAAGCGAAAUCAUCCCAGUUGGAGAAGUGGAGGAGAUUCAUGAGCUGGCAGUUGAGUUAGGGUGUAGGGUGGGAUCCUUGCCCUUUCAAUAUUUGGGACUCCCUCUAGUGGUUCCUAAUAGGGCUACUUCUAUGUGGGAUGGAGUGGAAGAGAGAGUUAGGAGGAGACUUGCGCUUUGCAAAAGGCAGUACAUUUCCAAAGGGGGGAGGAUCACUCUUAUAAAAAGCACCUUGGCUAGCAUGCCAAUAUACCAAAUGUUUAUUUUUCGAAUGCCCAAGUCUGUUGCUAAAAGAGUAGAGAAAGUUCAAAGGACUUCCUAUGGGGGGAGGACACUUAGAGGGGAAAAUUCAUCUAGUUAAAUGGAAUGUGGUUUGCACAGAAAAAAACAAGGGUGGGCUAGGCUUAAGGAAAAUAGCCAUGCUAAACAGAGCCUUGCUUGGUAAGUGGAUUUGGAGGUUUGCUUGUGAAAAAGAUUAUCUUUGGAAGCAAGUGAUCACAACGAAGUAUGGGUAAGAGGAUCAUGGAUGAAGGUCAAAGAAGUCUAAUGAGGCGGUUGGAGUAGGGGUGUGGAAGGAGAUUUUGAAAGAAUCUGAUUGGUGCUGGGAUAAUCUAGUGUUUCUAGUUGGGAAGGGCUCCAAAAUCAAAUUUUGGAAAGAUACUUGGUGCACUGACACACCGCUGUCCCAUUAUAUCACUUACCUCUUUGUUCUGGUCGCGCAUAGGGACGCAACAAUUGAGGAGAUGUGAGACCAAAAUUCUGGUCAAGGAGGCUGGAACCUAAUUUUUUUUAGAGACUUUAAUGAUUGGGAGUUGGAUAUGGUUGGGAAUUUGCUUCAUAUCUUGAGGGGUCAUAGGCCUUCUUUGGAGGAAGAUUCAAUUAUGUGGAGGCGAGGAAGAAAUGGUCUCUUUAGGGUCAAGGAAGCUUAUAGGCUGCUGGACAACCCUAAUGACAUAGUUUUUCCUUCAAGGAGCAUCUGGGUGGAUGAGGUGCCAACUAAAGUUGCUUUUUUCGCUUAGGAGGCGACGUGGGGGAAGGUGCUCACUCUGGAUAGGCUCCAGAUAAGAGGAGUGCAACUCCCUAAUUAUUGUUUUUUGUGUGGUUGUGAAGAAGAAAAUGUAAAUCAUAUUCUUAUACACUAUAUAGUGGCUAGAGCUAUGUGGGAUAUUAUUCUUGGGUUAGUAGAUGUUAAAUGGGUCUUCCCAAAAACUGUAAAGGAGGUCUUAACUACCUGGAGGGGCCCAUUUGUAGGGAAGAAAAAGAAAAAUGUUUGGAAAUUCAUACUGUUGUGUAUCUUUUGGACGGUUUGGAAUGAGAGGAAUAUGUUAGCUUUUAGGGGGGGGUGUUGAAUAUCCAGAAAUUAAAGAAUUUUUUUGUUUGUAACUUAUGGAGCUAGGCCAAAGUGUAUUUAGGCGAGGAGUCUCUCUCCCUUAUAGACUUUUUGGAGUGGGUAGCAUCCACUUAAAGGGAGGUAGUCCUUUUUUAGGCUUUAACUGCCUUGUAUACUCUGUGGCUUUUAACAUUUUUCUAAUGCAUAUCUUGUUUUCUUAUAAAAAAAAAAAAAUCAUUUUGUUUUGGGGAAUAUGAAACCAUUAAAGGUCAAUGCAUCCUACGAUUUUCAUAAUAUUUUUAAAAUUCUUUUAAUGUGAAUUCAUCUCUUCUAUUAGAUUUCUUUGGUUAUUAUGAUCACUUUCCUUUUCAAUAAGUGUUUUAAAUUUAUUAAAAGCACAAAAUACUUCAAUUUUUUCCUUUAAAAAAUACAUCCAAAAUUUUAUACUAAAAUCAUGAAUGAAAAACAAAAAAUAUUUAUUCUUACAAAAAAAAAAGUUUGAAUGAAUCGGAUCACAUACAUCCGAAUAAAUAAGUUUUAGAGACUUUUUAUUCUUAUACAUGCUUCUUUUGAAAAUUAUUUUUACAGCAUGUUUCUCAAAUAAGCAUCCUUCACAUUAUUCAUUCAUUUUUGGAAAGCAAUUCUCAUAUUUUUUUUGUUCUAACAAUUUUAAUUUAUCAAAAUUAAGAUAUUCAAAUCUUAAAUGUCAAAUCCAAAAGGAAUCAUUGACAUGAGAUUUUAGACAUUUUACAAUAUCAUUUUAUAUAUUUAAAAAAUAACAUUGCAUUUCUUGUCAUAGACAUAUUUACAUGCUAUCUCUUAUUAAAAGACUUUGAUUUUUCAUAUAAAUAUCAGUCUUUUUUUAAAAACUAGCCCAAACUUAAUAUAUUAUUUGUCAUGUUGGGUACAUAACAAAUAAUGUUCAAGAUAAAUCGAUGCAUUCCAUUCUUAUUUUACCUUUGCCUAGAUAUAUAAUAAUUCUUUCCCCACAAAAUGGACUUAACUUUGAACAGUUCCAAAGAUGGGUGAGCCCCAAAAAAAUGGCUAUUUGGACAAACUCUAAGGGUUGUUUGGGCUUGUCCAUUAAUUUGGGACAUGAAACCCACUAAAGGCUAAAGCCAGAAGCAGACUAGUCUUAUCCAAGAAGGUAGAACAUAAAAGUAUAUUACACACAAACGUUAUGGUAAUAGUUAAAAUAAAACUUUUGUUCAAUCACUCUUAAAUCUUACAAAAACCUUAUAAUUUCAGGGUAAUACUUCUUAGGAAGAUCAGUUUUCCCAUCUUCUCUACGCAUACAAUGAAGCUUCCAACCUGAAGAGAGAUACACCAAAGAAGAAGAAAAACAGAGCAGAAAGGCUUUCAUUCAUACUCAAAACUACAAUAUUUAUAAAGAAAUCAUCAGCUUCUAUGUAGAAGCCAAUGACCCAAUAUCAUACCCAGACCAAAUUCACAGAAAUCCCAAUUAGAUCAGCUUAUCUGCAAUUACCCACUCAGAAUCACGGAGAUUUAAGCGAUCUUGACCUCAAUGGUCUUGGGCUUCUUGGGCUCCGGCGGUGGUAGCUUCUCAACGGUGACGGUCAGUACUCCAUCUUGACAAACCGCGGAGAUCUUAUCAGUAUUCGCAUUCUCCGGCAACGCAAACUUCCUCAUAAACUUGCCUACCCUCCUCUCCAUUCUCACGUACUUGACGCCUUCCUUCUCUUCCUCGCGCUUCCUCUCUCCGCUGAUCACCAGCACAUUGUCGUCCUCCACCUGAACCUUGAUGUCGCCGGACUUCAGCCCCGGCAUGUCGACGAUGAAGGUGUAGGAAUUCGGGUACUCCUUGACGUCAGCAGGCGUCGCCGCCAUGGCCUUGGCGUCGCGGACGUAGGUGCGAGUGGGGGCGCUGACGGACUUGUCGGAGUCAUCGGUGGCGUCUAGCAUGUGUUGGAGGGCAGAGAAGAGUGGAGAAUCGAAGCCCAUCAUCCUCGAAUCCAUGUUGGGUGUCAGAGAUUUGUUGGUGUGAGAUUGUGAACAACUGCAAUUGCGAAUGUAGAAGUGCUUGAAUGUUGGAAGAAAUCGGAGGCAGUGAUGUGGAUUUUAUAGAAGACGAGUUGGGAAACAGAGGAAGGUUCUGGAAAGAACAAGAAGAGGAGAAUUGGGGGUUUGUCUUUGUUGGCUCUGCUCCAACGGUUCCAGAACCAGAAGUUUGUGGAAGUUUCUCCUAAAUGACUAAAGUACCCCUUAUUUGUUCAUAAAAAAUUACCUUUUGAAAGAAGUUCCAUUUCUACUUACACAGUAGUUCACAAAUCUUUUAUCAUAUUAUUAUCAACAAGCUAUGGUUUUGAUCAAUGCUUGGUGUAAAUUUUUAUUUUGAUUUUAGAAGAAAAAAAAAGACAUAAUUUUAAAAGGUAUUAUUAUAGUAAAAGUUAAAAUAAAUUUUUUAAAUAAAAUCAUUUUUUAGGAAAUGUUUAAAAAACCAACUUAAUAAUUUAAAGUGAAUUAAUAAUUUAAUUUAAGUUAUUAAGUAAAUUAAGUAUGUUUGGUAAAAUAACUUAAUGAUAUCACUAAAAAUAAAAAUAAAAAUUAAUUUUUAAAUAAAAAUAAUUAACUUAUUCUUAAAUCUAUAUUUUUAUUUUUAUUUACCAUCAUUUAUCCGAAUUAUUCUCAUAAUCUAUUUUACUACUUCAUGAUUUCCAUUGUUACUUAAACUACUUUGUCCUCAUUAUAAUUUAUGAAAAUAAUCAUAUCAAUUUGAUGAUUUACAAUAAAUUUUCAGUUAAUUUUAUUAAACAACCUUAAUAUUUGAAAUGAGAAUUAAGUAAUAAGUUUUAAGACUAAUAAUUUAAGUAUAAUUUAACUUAAAAUCAACUUAAAUAAUUAAAUAAUAAGUAAUAAGUUUUACCAAAUAUCAUUUUAAUAUUGUUCUUAUAAUAAAGUUAGUUAAAUAAAUAUAAGAAUUUUUAUUAAUCAUAUAAUAGAGUUUUUGAACUUAGAUUCACUUCAAUCCAACUUGUGUUUUAUCUUUUAAAAUUUAAAAGUUAAACAUAUCUAAGCAUCAACAAUUUAAAAAAAUUUGCUCUUUAUUUCUAAAUCGUACAUUAAUAAUAAUAGACUAAUCAAUUAUGAGUAUGGAUAAUUUGCCCCUUAUAAAUUGUUGGUUUAAGGGUAUGAAAAAAAGGACUAGUCCAAAGCACACAAAUAAAUAACGUAAUGAAUAGUAAGAAAAAUUUAUAGGUUGAGGUGUAACAAACAUUGUCCUUAAAAUAGAUCAACUCUCCUCGAAGACGAACUUGGUACACUUAGGUACUAGUGGUCCACCUUCAGGAUUCAAUAGUCAUUGAGUGCACUUUGUAAGCGAGACGUGUACAACUCAGGUUCAUGAAAAAUUCGUAUUCAUAUUUAGAGAGUGAUGAGUGAUAUGCUUUUAUGACUAAUAAAAUAAGAUAAAAAAAAAAAAGUAGCAUAGAUCAUCGCACACGUACGCAAAGGGCCUUCCACGCAAGAUGCAUGUGGGGAUCGAAGCCCCACUCAAAUGGGUUUGGCCCCAAUGGGCGCGCAAGACUCACCCACACCUCUUCACAAGCCCAUUGGGCUAAGGAAGGUUAAUAAACCCAUUAAAGAUGUUCAUCUCUUUCCUAUGUCGACAAGCAAAAAAUACUUUUCACAUUUACACUCUUCCUGCUAUGCAAGUCAAGUUGGGUACAUUUUGUUUGGAUUGAACAAGGUGUAGAAGGAUUAAAUAGAAGUACAUCAUUGAUGAUAAUAUUGCUUAAAUUUAUUUAAAGUCUUUAAUAACUUUUCAGCUUUGUAACUUCAUUAUUCUAAUACCAGUCAUUACAUUUGAUCAUUUUCAAAGAGAACAACUCUUCCCUGAGACAAAUAUGGUGUCACUCUCCCAAUCUAAAUUACAAAUUUAGAUUAUCAAAUUCCCUACCCAAAAUCUAAUCUUCCCAAUUUAAAAAAGACUUGUAGUGAAGUUGUCAACCAGAGGAAAUACCACACCUUACUAUGGCUUUUUAAUUGCCGUUAAAUCUUAAAAAUUUUCCAGGAAAAAUGAAAACGAGGCAAGGAAGAGAAAAGGCAGACUUCAUUGACGGUACUGAAAAAUCAAAACUACACAUUAUACUGUAAUGAAGAGAUCAGUAUCUUCAUCACCCCAAGCCAUUGACCCAAGAUCAAACCCAAACAAAGGCCCCUGUGGCAUUAUUUACUAUUAAAAACCCAGAAAAACCCUCCCAAAACCCCCUACAUUUCAAGCAAUUUUGACCUCAAUGGUCUUGGGCUUCUUGGGCUCCGGCGGUGGCAGCUUCUCAACGGUGACGGUCAACACCCCAUCUUGACAUACAGCAGAGAUCUUAUCAGUAUUCGCAUUCUCCGGCAACACGAACUUCCUCAUAAACUUCCCCACUCUCCUCUCCAUUCUUACGUACUUGGCACCUUCCUUCUCCUCCUCCCGCUUCCUCUCUCCGCUGAUCACCAGCACAUUGCCGUCCUCCACCUGAACCUUGAUGUCGCCGGACCUCAGCCCCGGCAUGUCGACGAUGAAGGUGUAGGAAUUCGGGUACUCCUUGACGUCAGCCGGCGUCGCCGCCAUGGCCUUGGCGUCCCGGACGUAGGUGCGGGUGGGAGCGUUGAGAGACUUGUCGGAAUCGUCGCCGGCGUCGAGCAUGUGUUGGAGGGUUGAGAAGAGUGGAGAAUCAAAACCCAUGACCCUCAAAUCCAUUUUGCUUUUCAGCGAUUAGUCUCUGAGAUCUGCUAAGAUUUGUAAAUGAAAAUGUUGGAAUUGAUUUUCUUAUGAGGAAUUCAUGCCGGUGGUGUGGUUCUUAUAGGUGGUGGGUUUGGGUUUGGAAGCAGAGGAGUUUCUGGAAGAAGAGAGAAGAGCAACACUGGUAGCUUCCGGAGCUUUGACUCAAAAUAGUGUGUUUUAAAAAAAAUUUCAAAAAAUAAAGUUGUUUUGAAAAUAAUGUCCGAUCUGAUGCGUCUUGUGUCACAUAAACUGCCAUGUCAUAAAACCGUAGUUGGUGACUACGGUUUUAUUUUUCUAAAGUGGUUAGAAACCAUAGUUACCAACCACAGUUUUAACUUUAAGUUUAAAUAUAGUGCCUAUUGUUUUAAUAAAAUUUAAAAAUAUAUUUUUAUAUCAAAUUAAAAAUAUCAAUUAUUUAAUUUCGUAUAUUAUUAUUUUUAAAAUAAUGAAAUAAGUAUAUUUAAAAUCAAAAUAAUAUAAUAUUUUUAUUAAAAAAAUUAAAGUUAUAUAUAAAUAUAUAUAAAGUUAAAACCGCAGUUGGUGACUACGACUUUGACCAUCUUAAAAAAAAGUCAAAGCCGUAGUCACCAAUUACGACUUUAAACUUAAAGUUAAAACCGUUAUUGGUAACUACAAUUUCUAACCACUUUAGAAAAAUAAAAUCAUAGUUACCAACUACGAUUUUAUGAUAUGACAGCUUAUGUGGCACAGACGCAUUAGAUCGAGCAUUAUUUUCAAAACAACUUUAUUUUUUGGAAUUUUUUUUUAAAACGCACUAUUUUGGAUCAAAGCUCUAGCUUCCGGAAGUUUUAUGGACCUUCUUACAAGUUAAAACGGAAAAAGUCAAAUUGACUAAAGUGCCCUUCUGUCUCUAUGGCUGCAAAAUCCCGUUAUGUGGACGCCUUGAAUGUUGUUGCUGUAAUUAAGACAGCAAUCUAAAUUUUUUCACCGAUACCCUUUUACAGUAUCCGUCUCCCGUGUAGAAGUUUUCACCCGUGGGUAACCGAUAAGAACAACAAAACAAUUAAAAUCUCUAUAACAUUCCCCAAAAAAUAAAAAAAUAAAAAAUUGUUCUCAAAUUAGAUAAUCACCUAACAAAACAAAUCUAGAAUGUUUGAAUUGAUUUUCAAUUAAAUUAUAUUUAAAUUAUUAAUUUAAAAUUUAUUAUUUAAUCAAUAUUUUAAAUAUUAAAAUUAUUUAAUAAAAUUAACUUAAAAUUUAUUCUAAAUUAUCAAAUUAAUAUAUUUAUUACCAUCAAUAAUAAUUAAAAUAAAACAUCGAUAAAAAAAUAAAAUAAAAAUAUAGAUGUAAAAAUAAAUUAAAAUUAUCUUUUAUUUUAAAUCAUAAUAUUAAAUUAUUUUACCAAAUAUACUAUACUUAAUUUAAUUAAUGACUUAAUUUAAAUUAUUAAAUUAAUUUACCUAUAUAUUAUAAUCUUAUAAACACACCCACCUACAAAUUUUCAAGAUUUCUAAAAUAUCCUUCUUUUUAUAAUCUUUCACAUGUCUUUUUUCUUCCUUUUUUCCAAAACUUAUUUGUUAGCAAAAGGAUAUUUAAGGUAAAUUUAUAGUUAAUUUCAACUUUACAAAUUUUAAUAAAAAAUUAUUACUUAGAAAUAAUUUAAAAAAUAUUUUAGAAGUGAAAAAUGCUGAAAACCCAAAAAAAUAAAAGGAAAAAAAUUCAUAGUAAUUCAAACUUGUAAUACUAAACAUAGAAAGAAAUUAUGUCGGAAAAUAUAGUUGCAAACAACUUUGUGAAUAUUUGAAAUAUUUUAAGGCUAUUUUGCAAUGUUUUAAAAAUCGGAUUGAUUAUUGAAUAAAAAAAGUUAUCGGUACAUGGUUCACUAGUUGGACCGUCGGUCGAACCGCUAUCGAACCGGUGACGUCAUAAAUAUAUAUUUUAUUAUUUUAUAUAAUAUAAAAAAUUAAAACAUUAAUAAAUUCUAUGUAAAUUUUGACAACAUCUAUUUUGUUUAUUGAGUAACUUGAGUUUUGUCACAAAAUUUUUUACCUGUAGAAGUCAUCAAUUAUCAUAUAUGAUAUUUAUAAAACAAUAUAAGAUGUUAUACAUUCAUAAUAUCAAUAAACUCAACAUUAUCAAAUAAUCAAACCAUUACUAUCCUAUAAUAACCAAAUUAUCAAAGAGUUAUUAACUUAACACAUUGUCCAUAACAAAUAAUACAAAUAUCAACCAUAGGUCCACAACACUAAAAUAAUUACUCAAAAUAAAAACAUAACAUGUCAAUGUUUGAAUAUUCAUGAAGAUUUUUGCAUACUAAUAAAUAUAAAAUUCAUGUUUUCAUUCAUUUUGGAAAUUGGAAUAUGGAGAUUGAAAAUGAGCAUUUGAAAAACCAAAAAAAAAAAUUAAAAUCAUUUGAACCGGUUUUUUUCCUCAGAACCGGCCGGUUCGUCUGGUUCACCGGUUGGACCGCCAGUUCAAGCGGUCCAAUCCCGAUUCGGUCUCCAUCCGGUCUAAUGACCGGACCGAACCGGAACGGUGACCGACCGACGGUCCAACCGGUCUAGUCCGGUUUUUAAAACCAUGCUAUUUUGGUUAUUUUAAUAAAAACAUUUUUGUUUUUAUUUUUUUAUAUUUUAAUUUUUUUUUAAAUAUAUCUUCAAAACAAAAACAAAUUCAAGCAUAUGUAAUCGUGACCCAAUUCGGUUAGCAAAUCCAAAAUCUAAUCCCAACAUAAAACCUUAAUAUAUAUGGCACCUUAAAUUUGAGGUAAUGAAAAUGGCACACUAAAAAUAAGGGAAAAGGUUUCACUCGUAGAGAUGAAGAUUGAAGACUACAUACUGACUUGGGAGACAUCGGGUACAAGAUCCCAAAAACCAACACACCCUCAUAUACACCGAACCCAAACACAACCCAAAAUCACGCAAAAUCCAAGAAGAUAUAAACACAAGCUCGUCACAUCCAUGACCUCAAAUUUCCAAACCCCAAAGAUCUCAAGCAACCUUCACCUCAAUGGUCUUGGGCUUCUUCGGCUCCGGCGGUGGCAGCUUCUCAACGGUGACGGUCAACACACCAUCUUGACAAACCGCAGAGAUCUUAUCAGUAUUCGCAUUUUCCGGCAACACAAACUUCCUCAUAAACUUCCCCACCCUCCUCUCCAUUCUCACGUACUUGGCGCCUUCCUUCUCCUCCUCCCGCUUCCUUUCUCCGCUGAUCACCAGCACAUUGUCGUCCUCCACCUGCACCUUGAUGUCGCCGGACUUCAGCCCCGGCAUGUCGAUGAUGAAGACAUAGGAAUUGGGGUACUCCUUGACGUCGGCCGGCGUCGCAGCCAUGGCCUUGGCGUCGCGAACGUAGGUGCGGGUUGGAGCGCUGACGGGCUUAUCAGCGUCAUCGACGCCGUCGAGCAUGUGUUGGAGGGUUGAGAGUGGAGAAUCGAAGCCCAUGAUUCUCAAGUCCAUAUUGGAUUUUCAGACGAUGAUUGAUGAGUAG
This 23086-nucleotide long non-coding RNA is filed under the name Vitis vinifera (wine grape). RNAcentral describes it as "long non-coding RNA (VVIN_LNC000910)". Lineage: Eukaryota; Viridiplantae; Streptophyta; Magnoliopsida; Vitales; Vitaceae. The record is from RNAcentral.